Molecule: long non-coding RNA, 669 nt
Organism: Asparagus officinalis (garden asparagus)
Lineage: Eukaryota; Viridiplantae; Streptophyta; Magnoliopsida; Asparagales; Asparagaceae
Exons: 2
Source: RefSeq, a predicted model, not a curated record
CCUCUCGGCCUUGAGCUUGUCAAGAACCCAUGCAUACUUGAAUGACCUCUUGUUCAUCUCAGAAGCUUCCUUCUCGAAACUCUCAAUUUCACAUUUCCUGACAGCUCCCAACACUGCAAGUUGUCAGCUUGUCUCUCUUAUCAAUAUUUGAUUUUGAUGAUUGUUGGUUACUCAAAUUCUAAUUUAUUGUUCUGUCAUUCUAAAAUCUCAUGAACCUACAACUUGCAGCCUGUCCGUGAUCGCUUCAAAAAUAACGCUGAUGCCAAAAAGCUAUUGGAAAAAGUGAAGGAGCGUAGAUUGUAACAUUUUUAUGGUGGGAUACAUAUAUUCCAUCAUCAAUGGCACACCUAACGUAACGCACAGCUACCCCUCAAUCAGAAACCAUUCGUCAAUGCACACUAACUUUCCAAUCAAAUACAUGAGAGAAUCCCCCACUAUUGGCAUUCGAUCAGAUCUUCGCAUUGCUGUCACAUUGCAACCCAAACGGCAAAUCAACUACAGCCUGCAAUAUGAUGUACCAAGUAGUAUCCAAUGUAUCGUGUUGUAUGAAAUUUUCUAUAUUAUGUAUAUAUAGAUGAUUUGUGUGCAUAUUGUAUCAAAUGCACUAUCCAAUGUAUCAUGUUGUAUCAAAUUUAUCAGUGUAACUAGUAGAAAUGUAUCUAGUAGAAA